Pelobates cultripes (western spadefoot toad) is the source of this 507-nucleotide non-coding RNA. The record is from the annotation of a GenBank genome assembly. Lineage: Eukaryota; Metazoa; Chordata; Amphibia; Anura; Pelobatidae.
CAAAGUGAGGCACAGCUAGACAGAGAGAGAGGCAGGCACAGUUAGACAGAGAUGGUGACAGAAAGUGAGGCACAGCUAGAGAUAGUGACAGAAAGUGAGGCACAGCUAGAUUGAGAGACAGAGAGGCACAGCUAGACAUACAGAGAGAGAGACAUGGGCACAGCUAGACAUACAGAGAGAGACAUGGGUACAGCUAGACUGAGAGAGAGGCGGGCACAGCUAGACAGAGAGCUGGGUACAGCUAGACUGAGAGAGAUAGAGGCACAGCUAGACAUACAGAGUGAGAAACAAGGGCACAGGUAGACCGAGAGACAGAGACAUGAGCAUAGCUAGACAGAGAGAGAGGGAGACAUGGGCACAGCUAGAUAUAGAGAGAAUGAGACACACAUAGACAUAGAGAGACAUGGACACAGCCAGACAUAGAGUGCUGGGAAAAACUAGACAUAGAGAGAGAGCUGGGCACACCCAUAAAUAGAAAGAGAGCUGGGCACACCCAGACAUAGAGAG